This 253-nucleotide ribosomal RNA is filed under the name uncultured bacterium. Its description in RNAcentral is "partial 16S ribosomal RNA". It matches the Rfam family "Bacterial small subunit ribosomal RNA", at positions 524 to 776 of the family's 1533-position model. The record is from RNAcentral.
UACGUAGGUGGCGAGCGUUGUCCGGAUUUACUGGGCGUAAGGAGCGCGCAGGCGGUCGUUCAAGUCGCGUGUGAAAGCCCCCGGCUCAACUGGGGAGGGUCACGCGAUACUGAUCGACUCGAAGGCAGGAGAGGGAAGUGGAAUUCCCGGUGUAGUGGUGAAAUGCGUAGAUAUCGGGAGGAACACCAGUGGCAAAGGCGACUUCCUGGCCUGUUCUUGACGCUGAGGCGCGAAAGCUAGGGGAGCAAACGGG